RNAcentral lists this unclassified non-coding RNA (200 nucleotides) under soil metagenome. RNAcentral's name for it is "partial contains internal transcribed spacer 2 and large subunit ribosomal RNA". The record is from RNAcentral.
UGCCUGUUCGAGCGUCAUUAUGACCACUCAAGCUUAGCUUGGUAUUGGGGUUCGCGUGCUCGCGGCUCUUAAAAUCAGUGGCGGUGCCGUCUAGCUCUAAGCGUAGUAAUUCUCUCGCUAUAGGGUUCCGGCGGUUGCUUGCCAAAACCCCCAUUUCUUAGGUUGACCUCGGAUCAGGUAGGGAUACCCGCUGAACUUAA